Molecule: long non-coding RNA, 1096 nt
Organism: Oncorhynchus tshawytscha (Chinook salmon)
Lineage: Eukaryota; Metazoa; Chordata; Actinopteri; Salmoniformes; Salmonidae
Source: Ensembl
ACUAAAGCAACUCAACUUCAGCUACAUCAACAGGUCGACAAUCAAUCCACAUUGACAUAUUCCCAGCAAACUAGACACAGGGGGCUCUAAGGGGCGGGUCACACCCACUCACCACGAGCCAGGGUGGCGUCACUGCUGCAGCACGCGGCGUCGCCAUAGAGACCGCCACAGCGACACUGCCGUGGUGACAUCAUAUCCGUGUCCUACGAUUCUAGAGGAGAGAAGACCGUCAUCACGUCCUUUUACGUCAAUAGCAGAUAAGCAUCAGAGUGCUGGAUGCAGCAUUCCCAAAUCCAGGAAACGGCGAGCACCAUCCCGUCCUGUCUCUUCCUGAGCAGAAGGGCCAGGCUAAUGUUUUCCCACGCCCGGACUCCCUGUCAACCACAUCUAGGGGAACAUUAGCCAUUGCAUUGUUUUCUCCCCCCCCACUUUCACUUUCUGUCUCUCUCUCGCUCCCUCUCUGUCCUCACUCACUUCCUCUGCCUCUGUCGCUCUAGUCUUCUCUUUCAGUUUCAUUCUGUUGUCCUCUUUGUCCAUCCACCUCUCCUCCUAUCUCCAUAUCGCUCUUUCAUUUGAAGAGCACUUCAGCAUCCCCCAAGCUCUUCACAGAGGAAGUAUGGUUGGAGAGAGAAGCGAGAGAUGAAGAAUAAAGAAAAAGAGUGAGUCAGGGAUGAGACAUGAAAUUAAACCAUUAAAACGGUGGAGAACAAAUGGCCUUUCUGUCCAUCUAUCAAUUGCUCACGUGUGUGUGUGCAUUCAUGUGUACGAGUGUCCACCCCCUUUUAAAAGGUGCUCUAUGGUAAUCCAAGUAGAGGAGAUGACAUUUUCAUAGAAAUCUACAGCACAGUACAUUCUGAACACUGAUAAACACACAGUGCCUCCCUCCCACCCUCCCCUUUAUGAAUGAUAAACAGAAGAGAGGGAGGAGGAUGACAGAGGUGGGAGAGAGGAUGGGAGGGAGGGAGGAGGACAGGGGUGGGAGGGAGGAGGACCUGGGUUGGAGAGAUGGGUUGAGGGAAGGAGUGGAGGAGGGAGGGGAGGAGGACAGUGGUAGAGGGUGGUGGAGGAGGACUCCCACCCACCCACCCUCCACCCC